UAGCUAUUGGUUGGUCCCCUGCCGGACACGGUUACAACCCCAGCAAGCCAGCAGACCCGUAGUUGCCAAGCCCUCCAACUAAAGUCGCUAAAUCAAUGAACAGAGUUCCCUAACUCAAUGAUUCCCUAGCUGCUAACCCCCCUCACUAAUUUGCCCACCACACGUACUAAGUUGCCUAAAACUAGCCAGCAUAUAUAACUAAGUUGCCCGAACUCGUUCGACUUAGCAGCUAACUUAGUCAUGCCCUCACACACACAAGUUGUCUAAAACCGCGCAAUAAGUCAUGCUACCCUGCCAACCUAGCCGUUAGCCUUAGUCGCAUCAGCAUGCAAACUAAGUCGCCAAAACAGAACACUAAAAGUCGGCUAGCCUGCCAACCUAGCUACUUAGUCACGCCAUAAUGCACACUAAGUAGCCAAAACUUAGAAUCCUCACUCCUAAUCAGCCUAACAAUUUUGUGUUAAGUUGCCUGCCCAUAUUAAUUCGCCUACCUACGCCCCUAAUUCGCCUGCAACAUAGAGUCCUCACUCCUAGUUCGCCUACUGAACGCUCCUAAAUUCACCUAUCGACGCUCCUAAUUUGCCUGCAACAUGGAGUCCUCACUCCUAGUUCGCCUGCCAAACGCUCCCCAAGUUGCCUACAUAUUUUUAGAAUGCAUCAACACAUAUUGAUUUGCCUACAAAUAUGCACCAACACAUAUUAAUUUGCCUACCAACACCGCUAACUUCAGAACUCUCACAUAUUCAAAGGGGAAGGGAACUUAGAUCCCAUAGAUAUGAAGCAACCACACUAACACUUAAUGACAAUUUUUUUGCCCAUGGGAACACGUUUAAAUUGCUUUUUCAAAUCCUGAUCUUGAGCAUGCAACUUCUUGGGACAGGAACAUGAAAAAAAUACCAUAUUCAAAGCAAGUUUUCUGUAGUCCGGAUCAUGUGACAAGUUAAGAGACAGCAACCGAAUUGUUUUACCCUUCUAUUUUGCCUGCUCCUUCCCCCUGGUGUAUAAUAUUGUUGCCCAGUUCUCUUUUUUGCUUGAUGUAUUCUUGGAUAGAAGAGGUCAAGACGACCAGGGUGGGCGAAAGUGGAUUUUUCCUGUAAUGAGGGUCCCGUGGUGCGGGGACCAGUUUGUUUUUUCUUUUGCGGCAGCUUGUAAGUGCUAUGGGCAAAUAACUUCCCUUUUCUGGAUCUAGGAGGAGGUCACACGCGCACUUACCCAAAAUAGAUAGGUCGCUCCAUCGUGCUAGGGAGCAAGCAAUUGCUGUCUAGCAGCGUCCUAAAAAUAAUUCUGAUACAGCUGGGAUGCACCCCGAUACCUGUCUGAUACAGGAAAACCCAACCGCUCAAUUCAUACCACAAACGCACCCUACCCAUUCUCGACUCGCUCUCACACGCCCAUGCCUCCAUCUGACCUUAGUGCCACACGGCUAGUUAGACGUGCUGACCUAGCACAUUAAACCACCGGCCCGUUUAUUCCACUGUCCUACUAAAGGAUCCCAUACGAGCACAGUCGACAGAAAAUCUGGGGUUCCUCCUCACGCCGCCUUUCUCCCUCUUCCUCUGUCCCUUGCUGCACUGAUGGGAACCAGCCAGUGAAGCUCGAUUUCUCGCGAGAGAAGCUCGAUCCGUCGCCGAAAUCAGUCGAUUUGUCGUUGGAGGUUGAGUCCUCGUCGGGGAGGAUGAAUCCUCACUGGGGAGGUUAAAUCCUCGCCGGGGAGGUUGAUUUCACGCCUGCGAAACGGGAUUCCUCACCGGAGAAGGCUGAUUUCUCACCACAGCUCCCUCCCCUGGUCGGAGGGCCGCCGCACUGGAGAAGAAGGAUGGCUGCUGUCAGCCUCUCACCGCCAGAUCCAAACCACCACCGCAGAUCCCUUCGCCGUCCGGAGCUGAUCUGUCUCCUUCCAAGCCGCGGGUCAGUUUCCCCUUCUCCCUUCUCCCUCUCGAGUUGUUGUGUGCCGAUUACUUCUUACCCCCCUUUUAAGGUCAGAAAUGACUAGUUCAUUAAGCACUGGUAGCGACUGGUGGUUCUGGAGUUGGAAGCUCAAACUCAAAUGCAGGCAGUGGAAGAGCCAAUGCAGUCCACGGGCUGAAUGCUGCUUGUGCGAUUUCUCUAAAUGACAAUGGAACCAGUGGGAAGAAGAGAAGGGGUUCAUUGGCUAUUGAAGCAAGCUUCAAUCAGGAAACUCACAGCAAGCUUUGCUGCUCUGAUUGCUAGGAUGUUCUAUACUGCAGGCAUGCCUUUUUAAUCUUGCGGAGCUAGAGGCCUUGUUUAGAUAAUAUUGGGGCGUUUGGACACUGGAGUUGGAGAACCAAUAGACUUCUAGUAUAAAAAUCACUAAUCUAUAUAUAUAUACGGUGGCGCUAAACCAAGCGAGCGUGCAAAGCUCUUAUUCUACGCGCCGGUCGCUAAUCACUGUGCCACCAAACCAGUGCAGUCUCACUCGGCUAAUUGUGUGAGAGUAAAAGGAAGUAGAAAAUAUAGUAAUUUCUUUAAUUUCUGUUACCAUUCCACGCGCCCCACCUCUGUCCCGUGGCUCCGUACCAACCCGCUAAUCAUGAUGGUAAAACCGCAUGCAAGAAAAAGUAACUGAAUUAAAUUGGUUACUGCUAGUCACACACAACACUCUGCUCCGCAAACCAGUCGUUCUUCUAAUCCCAGUAAAAUAGCCAGCAAAAAUAGUAGUAGGGUUAAAUUUAUUACUAUGAGCCAUGCACAACCCUCCGUCUCGCAAACAAGCCAUUCUUCUAACCCUGGUAAAAUAGCUGGCAAAUAUGGUAAUGGAAUUACCACAAGAUGCACAACUAAAACUAAGAUGGUUACUGCUAGUCACAAACAACACUCUGCUCCGCAAACCAUCCCGGUAAAAUAGCCAGCAAAAAUAGUACUAGAGUUACAUCUAUUACUAUGUGCCAUGCACAACUCCCUGUCUUGCAAACCAGCCAUUCUUCUAACCCUGGUAAAAUAGCUGGUAAAUAUGGUAAUGGAAUCACCACAAGUUACAAAUAUAGUAAUGGAAUCACCACAAGAUGCAACUAAAACUAAGAUGCAAAUCAAAACCACAUGAUUAUUUAGGUGGUAAUGUAUUAAAGUUGUAGGUGCUAAUUAAUGUGUAGUGGAGCAUCUAGUAAAUAUAGAAGAUUUGUAGUAAAUGACGUUGUGAUGUACAAGGCUCUAGUUUUGCAAGAUGAUAAAUGGAAGUAGUUUAUAUCGUAAUACAAGUUCUUGUCCUCAUUAUUACUGGCGUUACUACUAUAUGUAUGCGUGAUUACUGUUUACAUGCAAAAUUGUACGCUCAAACAUGUUCAUUUUAGGUUACUAUAUAUGGGCUAGGUGUGACAAUCAGUUGUGACAUGCGGUGGGGUACACUACAGGUUGGUUUGAUCUUAACCAAACUGAGGGCGCCCACAUGAUGGAUCUGCACGCAGAAUAAGUCAGUGUACGCGCUCACACAGUUUAUAUAUGUUUUUUGGUAUUAAGUAUAUAUAUAUACACACACAAACAUAGCCCGUAUCUGUGUUUUUUAUAAGGUGCUGUAGCAUGGUAUCGGUAUUUGUAUUUGUAUUUGUAUGUUGGAGACCAAUAGACUUCUAGUAUAAACAUGACUAACCUCUAUAAUAAUAUAGAGAGAGAGACACACACACACACAAACAUAACCCAUAUGUGUUUUUUAAAAGGUGCCAGAGCACAGUAUCGGCAUUUGUAUCUGUA
Long non-coding RNA from Aegilops tauschii subsp. strangulata, 3705 nucleotides. RefSeq lists it as uncharacterized. Lineage: Eukaryota; Viridiplantae; Streptophyta; Magnoliopsida; Poales; Poaceae. The record is from RefSeq and is a predicted model, not a curated record.